This 72-nucleotide transfer RNA is filed under the name Haemonchus contortus (barber pole worm). RNAcentral's name for it is "tRNA, Pseudo". Lineage: Eukaryota; Metazoa; Nematoda; Chromadorea; Rhabditida; Trichostrongylidae. The record is from RNAcentral.
GUCUCGGUAGUGUAAGGGAUAAAGCACGGUGCCCGAAUAGCAUAAGUACGGGUUCGAAUCUCAUCCGAGGCC